RNAcentral lists this ribosomal RNA (109 nucleotides) under Scleropages formosus (Asian bonytongue). Lineage: Eukaryota; Metazoa; Chordata; Actinopteri; Osteoglossiformes; Osteoglossidae. The record is from RNAcentral.
GCUUACGGCCAUACCACCCUGAACACGCCUGUUCUCGGAAGCUAAGCAGGGUCAGGCCUGGUUAGUACUUGGAUGGGAGACCGCCUGGGAAUACCAGGUGCUGUAAGCU